Daucus carota subsp. sativus is the source of this 1230-nucleotide long non-coding RNA. RefSeq lists it as uncharacterized. The record is from RefSeq and is a predicted model, not a curated record. NCBI's taxonomy places the organism in Eukaryota, Viridiplantae, Streptophyta, Magnoliopsida, Apiales, Apiaceae. The transcript is spliced from 4 exons.
AACUCAUCGGACCAACUAAGCGCGCUUGCACCAGUCUAGCCCUGAAGGUCGUCCUGGCAUCACUCCGGAAAAAGAGAGUCCAAGAGGGUCGUCUCGCUCUCACCACUCGCUCGAUUCCAAUUAUUUUAGCUUCCGCGUAACUAGGGUUUAGCAAUGGGUGCUGUGAACAUCACAGACGUCACCGUUUUGGACAAUCCAUCCCCCUUCCCAAACCCUUCCGCUUCAAAAUCUCCUACGAGUGUCUCCUCCCCCUCCAAGAUGAGGAAGCUCUUGGUGAAGCUAUAUGUCAAGCAGUGGGUCUUGGUUUGAUCAAGUCUGGCAACAAAGUGUUCUCACCUCUAAGGAGGCCUCUUUGAAACUACAAGAUUCUGCUGCUCUGCUUCAUAAUGGAUCACAAGCAACAAAUACAUCACAAUUAGUAUCUCAGACUCCUACAAAGGCUAGCUGCUGAAACGUCUUACGGACAUAGGGUACAAUGAUGCAGCUGUUGACAACAGAGUUCUAAAAGCUGAUAUCGAGACCAUCACAGCUAAGGUAUAGCUGAGCAUCUUGCUUUUGACUGCAAGUUGAGGUCUGAAACCUACAACAGUACUCUAUGUGGUUUCUCAUGUUAUUUAUUAGUGCAUACAAAGCUGCCUAAAAAGUUUCCUUUGCCAUAAAAAUUGUAAAGGCUUGUAGUUUGCAUUGGAAGCUAUUUCUCUAUUAUUUUUUUUUGGCAUGUGUAUUACAGGUGAAGAUGGCUGAAGAGACUGUUGCCAUCAUAUUCUGGGAGCCCGUCUGACACAUCAGCUGAUACUAUUCAAGAUGUUCAAAAACAACACUUCUAUCAGCCUGCUCCUAUGAGUCACUUGCCUGCUCAAGAUCAGAGAGCCCAGAAUGGUUUACUACUGGUUCCACCGGUAAAUAAUUCACAAAAGCAUUCUGCAUCAGGCAUUGUUGAAGGAAACAAGAUAGAAAGAACUUUUUCAAUGCAGCGAGUGCCUAGCUUGGAGCAUCUUCAGAAGGGGAUCUGUGGAGGUGUAAGCUCAUCUGAGACCCUGGCCAGUGGUAAGCAGUAGAAGGUAGCCAAGAGACCUUGAAAUGUGAGGAUUAGUCAGAGGUGCUGGUGUGCUUUUAUUUCAGCUACAUCUAUUGGUUCAUAGUAAUAGAAAUCCUCUUAUCUCAUCAUAAAUUAAUGCUCUGUGGUCUUGUGGAUACAAAACCAUUUCCCCAACUUGGACUAUGUGUAGU